AUAGCAGGCCGUUCUAUCGCUGAUGAGAAAUACUUAUCGGAGGAAAGUCCGGACAACUCAGAGCAUCAUGCUUCUUAACUGGAAGGUACUGUGAAGUACAGUAGUGUAGCAGAAAAUAACCGUCCUGAUCUCAGGAUAAGGGUGAAAAGGUGGGGUAAGAGCUCACCAGUUUUGAUGGUGACAUCAAAAGCUGUACACCUCAUGAGUUGCAAGACCAUGUAUACCGGCGUUUUGGAGUUGCUCGUUUCAAGCCGGGGGGUAGGUCGCAUGAAAACGGGAGUAAUCUCGUUUCUAGAUAAAUGAUAGAGUCCGCUUUUUAGUGGAAACAGAAUCCGGCUUAUAGGCCUGCUAUUUUU
This 356-nucleotide RNase P RNA is filed under the name Bacteroidota bacterium. RNAcentral's name for it is "Bacteroidetes bacterium (marine metagenome) RNase P RNA component class A". It matches the Rfam family "Bacterial RNase P class A". From Rfam's summary of the family: Ribonuclease P (RNase P) is a ubiquitous endoribonuclease, found in archaea, bacteria and eukarya as well as chloroplasts and mitochondria. Its best characterised activity is the generation of mature 5'-ends of tRNAs by cleaving the 5'-leader elements of precursor-tRNAs. Cellular RNase Ps are ribonucleoproteins. The record is from RNAcentral. Lineage: Bacteria; Pseudomonadati; Bacteroidota.